AUUGUCAUAGCUCAUUCAGGCAGAGCACGAGACCUGGGCUCUCGAGGUAGCGGGUUCAAAUCCCGCUGACA
This 71-nucleotide transfer RNA is filed under the name Myxococcaceae bacterium. RNAcentral's name for it is "tRNA-Pro". It matches the Rfam family "tRNA". From Rfam's summary of the family: Transfer RNA (tRNA) molecules are approximately 80 nucleotides in length. Lineage: Bacteria; Pseudomonadati; Myxococcota; Myxococcia; Myxococcales; Myxococcaceae. The record is from RNAcentral.